CAGGCGGGCAUGCCAGAGGGGCUCACGUCGGCGAGAAGAAACUUAUUACAUAUAACUAUCUACUAGCAUGUGACUAUGUGAGUAUAUAACAAGUAGGGAGAAUGCGAAAUCUAUAUAUACUCACAUAAAAUAUAAAUCACAUAUCUCAAGUAUUUUUUCAAAUGGUCAAAAUAUCACAAUACAUAUGUUAAAAUUGUAUUCGCAUUCAUAUAUACUACAUUCAUACUAUAGAGUACAACACACAUACUAUAGAGCACACAUACUAUAGAGUACAACAUUUCAAUUGUGGGUAUCUAGACUUACAAGUCUAAUACGGUAGAUAGUGUAUAUAUAAAUCUAUCUAUAAUCCUAUCUAUAAUCGUGAGUAUAACACUUCAGUAUAACUAUGUAGUCUAGCGUAUAUAUAAAUGCAAUAUCCA
Molecule: long non-coding RNA, 419 nt
Filed under: Setaria viridis
Lineage: Eukaryota; Viridiplantae; Streptophyta; Magnoliopsida; Poales; Poaceae
Description: long non-coding RNA (SVIR_LNC004152)
Source: RNAcentral